CCUACGGGUGGCAGCAGUGAGGAAUAUUGGUCAAUGGGCGGAAGCCUGAACCAGCCAAGUAGCGUGCAGGAUGACGGCCCUACGGGUUGUAAACUGCUUUUAUACGGGAAUAACGCGCCUUACGUGUAGGGCUUUGCAUGUACCGUAUGAAUAAGGACCGGCUAAUUCCGUGCCAGCAGCCGCGGUAAUACGGAGGAUGCGAGCGUUAUCCGGAUUUAUUGGGUUUAAAGGGUGCGUAGGCGGACUGUUCAGUCAGCGGUAAAAGCCCGGGGCUAAACCCCGGCGUGCCGUUGAAACUGGCUGGCUUGAGAUGGCGAGAGGUAUGCGGAAUGCGCGGUGUAGCGGUGAAAUGCUUAGAUAUUGCGCAGAACUACGAUUGCGAAGGCAGCAUACCGGCGGCGAUCUGACGCUGAGGCACGAAAGCGUGGGUAUCGAACAGGAUUAGAUACCCCUGUAGUC
Molecule: ribosomal RNA, 459 nt
Filed under: uncultured bacterium
Lineage: Bacteria
Description: partial 16S ribosomal RNA
Rfam family: Bacterial small subunit ribosomal RNA
Source: RNAcentral